AUUGAACGCUGGCGGCAUGCCUUACACAUGCAAGUCGAACGGCAGCGGACCUUCGGGUGCCGGCGAGUGGCGAACGGGUGAGUAAUAUAUCGGAACGUACCUUUCAGUGGGGGAUAACGUAGCGAAAGUUACGCUAAUACCGCAUAUUCUGUGAGCAGGAAAGCAGGGGAGUCGCAAGACCUUGCGCUGAUUGAGCGGCCGAUAUCAGAUUAGCUAGUUGGUGAGGUAAAGGCUCACCAAGGCGACGAUCUGUAGCGGGUCUGAGAGGAUGAUCCGCCACACUGGAACUGAGACACGGUCCAGACUCCUACGGGAGGCAGCAGUGGGGAAUUUUGGACAAUGGGCGCAAGCCUGAUCCAGCCAUGCCGCGUGAGUGAAGAAGGCCUCGGUUGU
Molecule: ribosomal RNA, 393 nt
Filed under: uncultured bacterium
Lineage: Bacteria
Description: bacterial SSU rRNA
Rfam family: Bacterial small subunit ribosomal RNA
Source: RNAcentral